CAUACUGAAAUAAACGGGGUGCCUUAGAGGUUUCCAAGAUACACAGAGAUAUACUCCCAUCUGUUUUCUAGAAAGACAACACUUUAUCUUCAAGGCUUAACCCUUGGAAUUCUACCUCCAUGAUCUUAAAUUCUGAAAUUCCCCAGUCAACUUUGUAUUUACCUAUGCCUCCUCUUCAAAAUAGUUUGUUCUUCACUUUCUUUAUUAUCUCUAACUGCUUAAUCCCCCCACCCAUCAGUUACAAAAACAAAAACAAUCUCUGUUUAUCUUUCCUCUUUGGGCUUCACCUCUCAUUUCUUAGCCUGAACUCCAUGGCAUGCGAAAUCAGCAACUUCCCUUAGGAGAAACUAGAUUGUUUAGCUUUUCUGUCCUUCCACCAUACCUGUCCAGCCAAUCUCCUACCCUGCAGAAAGCAACUUCCAUUUAUUUUCUUCCAUCCUUCUCUCAGGGGACCAAGUGUUCCUGGACAAAGUCAUAAAAUAGGGCCAAUUGGUUUUUUUAAUAAAUCCACAUUUUUCAACCUUAACUGGAACCCUCAUUUCUGUUGGGAAUUCUAUUGGUCUUUUCUAACCAAUUGCCUUUCAUAUCCCAUCUCCUGCCCCACUUACCUGAAAACUUUACACUCUCUUACCCCAAGCCCUCAAACUGACCACUGUCACUUUUUGCAGAUGACCUUGCUUUCUCUCUUAUGAAGAUGGAGAUUAUUUAAUAUGAGUUAAUUGCUUGGCUUCUCAACUUGUACACUGUUCUGAGCAUUACUCAUUCAUCUUAUGGCAGAGGAAGAUGCAUGCAUUCUCCUCCUCUUCAAGGUCAACUUCUCCGCUUUUGUCUUUGACCUCAUUCCCCUUCCUUUCAUUUUCUCAACUCUCCUUUCUUUCCUGCAUAUCUCAUCUUUUCCCUGUGCCCAUACAGUGAUCUUAGUUCACUGUUUUUAUAAUACAUAUUUCUUCAUUAUUGUGAUCUCCGAAGUCAGGAUGCAUUUUAUAAUUGGUGGUGUUUUGUCUCCCUUACUGGUACGUCAACUAAGGUGUGUCUUACAAUCAAGGCCUUCUUAGAUUUGAUGGGAUACAGUAGUUGCUAAGACCUACGGGUUCCUUUUAAGCCAUAGCUCUUUGGCCAGUGCACCUCAUUGUGACAACUUUUCUUCCAAGUGACUGCAAAGCCUGUGAUGACACUGUACCCCCUCCAAUGCCUGAUUAAUAUUCCUAAAGCACAUCUCUAGUCACUAUCCUGUUCAGAAAUUCUCAAAGGUUUAUUAUAGAGGUGUUCAAAGUCCCCCCGCAAACAACCUCUACAUCUUUAUCUGCUACUCCCAUAUAUGCAUGCUACCACCCAGGAAAAUGGAAUAACUCUGUAAACUCCUUGCAUCUCUGUGCCUUUCUCUUGCAAGUAUAUCAGCUUUUUGCCUCCCCCACCCCGCAGUGCAAAUCUUAUCCAUCUUUCAGGGUACAGCUCAAAUAUCACCUCUUGGCCAAUCAAAGGUAUUUUUUUUGCCCUAUGAAUCCCACCGCACUUCAUCUGUUCCUCUCUUACAUAUCUUUCAUCUUGUAUUAUAGUUAUCACUGUAUACAUCUGUCUUCUACUACACUGAAAACCACCUGAUGCCAGGGUACAAGUCUGAAUCAUCCUCACACGCGCUCCCCACUAAUGAUAGUGUUGACGAGCCAAUAAUGAUAGACAAAGGCACCACCAACCCAGUGUGGGGGCCUCCAAAAGAAAUGGAUCUCACAGUAAAUGAACUGCUAACAAGAGAAGGCAAAGAGGUAUUGCAAAACGGAUCUUGAAGGAUACGUACUAAGGGGUUAGCAAUGACUAUCUCCAAGAAGCAAGAGUGUUGGGGAUGGGGGCAAAAACAGGAAAAUACUGGUGGCAAUUAAGAAUGAUUUUCACUUUUUCUUGGAGAAAUAAGAAAAAAUUUUAAAAAAAAUGACAUUCUGCCUUAUAUGCUUCUCUGUUGAAUUUCUGAAAUAAACACAUGCUAUUUUUAUAAAUUACUUUUUAAGAAGAGAACUUGGGGGAGACAGUACAAUAUUUAAGAACUCGUUUAAUGAUCAAUACAAUUCUGUAACUAUUUAUGUUUGGAAAGUGUAUUUGGACCAGCUAGAAAAUAUUAGGAUUGUGAUUUCUGUUCUUGUAACAAAUAGAUAAAGCCAUGCUAUCUCUGGAAGCUAAACUAGAAUUCGCGAUUAUUCAUGGUAUACAUAAUUUUUGUACUGAGUUAAAAAGGUUUAAAAUUAAUUAAAUUUAAUUAAAGAUUAAAAUUAAUCUGUAUUUUUAGGAUCUAACCAUAUAAAAUAAAGAAGACCAGAGUAAAAAAGGAAAUCAGUAACUUUCUCCAAAUCAAAGGCUAAAGAAAAUAAGAAUUGAUUCAAUAUGGUUUUAAAUCUCUAAGCCUGGUAACUAAUUAAUCCUUUCUUCUCUAUUAAAGACCUGUUAUUUUUGUAAUUAAAAAAUGUAGGCCUAUUAAAAAAUAUGAAUUGUCAUUGAAACAUGCUACUCUAGCUGGAGGUGUAUACAAAGGACUGUUAGCACAACUUUCUUCUUUCUCUAUUUCUGUAAUGUUUCAAUGUUUAAAAAAUAUUAAUUCAAGAUAUACAGUAUAAUCUAAACUGAUAAAAUGACAUUUAUAGUACCUCAUGGUAAAUAUUUAAGUUUAAAAAGUAAUAAGAUUUUUUUACUGCAAAACUCUUAAAACUUUUUUGUGAGAAAAGACACACAAUAUUGAUAUAAGUAGAAGAGUUUUUUGAAGAUAAAGGUAGACCAGGAAAUAAAAUAGCAAACAACUAUGUAUUACAUGACUAUGCAUAAGGCAUUGUACUUGAGGGGUAUGAGUAAUUUCAAAAUAUGGGCCUUGAUUAUGGUUCGAGAAGAAGAUAUAAAAAAGCUAAAUAAUAAAAGGAGCCAAAACAUAACUGACAAAAUGCAUCUAUCUUCUAAUUAAGUAUAAAACAACAUGUUAAAUUCAGAAAAGAGUGAUAUCUCUGUGGACUGGGCUGAUCUGGGAAAGCUCAUUGAAUUAGGCAGGCUUCUGAGGGGUGCACAGGCUGCAGGCAUUGGAGAGGCAAAGGCAACAUUAACAGUAAAGACGAAAAUAUGAAGGCAUAAAAACUUAAGACAUACUUGAAAAACAGAAGGCAACUAGUGAUGUGAUCUGAUUACACUAUAGGGCUUACAUAAGGGUGGUCAUACACCCUGGUUUGCCUGAGAUAGUGCUGUUAUCUUGGAUUAUUAACAAAUCCCAUCUUAAUCCCCCAGAGUGUCCUGCUUUGGACAAUAAAUUAUGUGGCCACCCUAGGACCACACUACAUUAUGUACAUAUCUGAAUUUAAUGUAAACUAAAAUCCUCUGAGUCUUUUUCACAUGUGCUCUGACAAGGAGGACAUAGUAGUUGCUCAGAAAAAAGGAAGCAUCAAGAGGAAGAUGGCUAUGGUUUCUAUCUACUCACAAAAGGAGGUAUUUAAGCCCAAAAAAAUAUGCUUGGCAUAUAAUAGACAGUAAGUAUCUAAUCAACAGAUGGUUGAAUAAAUGAAUACAUUAGGGAAUAAAUGAAUGGGAAAAGGAAACAAAGGUGAUAACAGAAAACAGUGGUUUCAGUUAAGACUUUUGGUAAAACCCAGACUAUCUCAGGAGAAAGUGAGGAUUUCACCAUUUUGUACAAUUAUCUUCUCUAAGUACAUUUGGUGGUUUGGCCUAAGAUAUUUUUAUUUGUGUUUAUUUUUGAUAUUUGUGUUUAUUUCUGAGCUAUAUAUAACCAAAAUGAGCUGCCAACGAAGUCGGGAAAUAGAUCUAAUAACUUUGAUUUUGAAUAUACUGAAUUAAUCAUUCAUUUUAAUCACCUAAUAAUGUUGAGUCCUAGUUUAUACCGGGCAAUUGGCUAAAUGGUGGCAAAGGUGAACCAGACAAAGCUUCCCCAAGUAGUCACCAGGAGAUACAGGUAUGUAAAGAAGAUAUUAUGAAGUACUGUAAAAGAAAUUAUAUUAGUUUUAUGAAUACAGUACUGCAGUAGCAGAGAGGAGUGUAUACUUGGGCAGGGUCUUGAAGAAAGAGCAAGGGUUUUCAGGGCAGAGAGGGCGGGUACAGGGAAAUGCUGUCAGGCAGAGGAAACAACACCAUGUCCAAAGGCAGUGAAAGAGUCAUGAAAGAGCUUACAAUGUUCCAAAAAUGGGAAGGAGUUUAGUGUGGCUAGAAUACACAGUGUAUGACAGGGGGUUGUGAAAGGUUGGGUCCAGAUUUUAAAGGGUAUGGAGUUAACUUUCUAGGCAACUGGGAGCUGUAAUUUAAAGCAGAGGUAUUCUAAGAUCAAACUUAUUUUUGUAGGGCAAUAUCUCUGCUGAUAUUAGAGGCAGAAGCCAGUUAGGCAGCUGUGAUGAUGGCUGUGGAGAAGGCCUCAAAUAGGCUGAGGCCUGGACAUAGAAAGGAAAGGUGAGAUUCAAGAGAUGCUUUGGAAUGGUGAUAAAAUGCAUUCAAGACAGCCCUAGGAACAGUACACACUGUUAUUAACCUUCCAGCAUUUUAGAUUAUUUUGAAGGACUAGAAAUUUCUGUUACCAAGUGGAUAAACUGUAGGAGAACUUGGCUAUUGGACUCUAAAGGGGACCUGUUUCUGAAAUGAAACUCUGGAGCUCAAAACAUACUUCUAGUCCAUAUAAAAUGUAUAUAGCCCUAAACAUUUUCUAAGACAAAACAGAAAAGAAGCAUAAACAAAAGUCCACAGGUAGCAAUAAAAAAAUGAUAAAAUAAAUCCAGAGGGCACUACACUUUUACAAAGGACACUGUCGGCUGAGUGAUCAGUGAAUGUCUUCACAGGGAGAAACCAAAUGAUCUUUUGCCAGACAAUGACAACAAAGAAUUAAAAUGAAAAGUGGCAAAAUAAUUUAUAAGAGAUGAGAAACCAUAAGCUAGUAACAAAUGGAAAUGUCCUUGAACCACUUUCAUUUCAAUAACACUGAAGUCUAUAAAAAUUGCAGCCAAAUAAUUCCUCCUUUUGUGUCUGCGUGAACAUAUAGAAAAGACAGAGACUGACUCUCCAAGCAAGGGAUAAUGCCAUGUAAAUGAACAUGUUCUUCUGUGCCUUCAUGUGAACUAUCUCUGCUAAAGAGAUAUUCAAACCUCAUCAUUUCAGUUAUCCAAAAUAAGGUUUUAGGAUUGCCAGACAUUUCCCACUAACUACAAUUCAGUGUGUAUUUCUUCAUCACCAAGUAAACUUACUGGGCAGUGGGCAGGAAAGGCCUGCUUUUAGAAGAAAGAUUACUCUUUCAGAAGAAGGAAAAAAACCAGCUUUAAACAUACUUAGAACCUAAGUCCCAUCUCCUAUUUGAGAGUAUCUAUGUGGUAAAUGAUCUCUGGAAAUAAACAAAACAAUUUACAUAUCCAACCACCAGGGACUGGGUACUAAAUAAGAGGAUAUUCUUAAAAUGGAUUUAGUCAAUGAAAAUCAUGUUUUCAAAGAUCAUAUAAGUGAGAAAGUAUAAAACUACAUAUCUGGCAUAACCAUCUUUUGUUUAAAAAGAUAUGUAGAUGUAUACAUAAUACACAGAAAAAUGACUAAAAUGAAAUAUGCCAAAUGUUAACAAUUACUAUCUUUGGAUGGUAGUAUUAAGAGGUAUUUUAAUUUUCUUUAUAUUUUCCUGUGUAUCCCUCAAUUUUAUAUAUUAAGCACGUGCUAAUUUUAUAAUUUGGAAAAGCAUUAUUUGAAAAUAAAGUUUGCUGUCUUAAAGUAUCGGCAAAAUGGAAUUAGAUUAAAAUUAUUCUUAAAUAAUAAACUUUAGCCUAUCUUAAUGCUAACUUUUAGCAACAAACCAAUUUGCAUUUUAAAAGUUUGUUUUGCAAACACACUGAGGUAUAACAAACAAAAGAUGUUCUUUACUAAUGUAUUUUUUACAGAUGAGCUUAUUUUUAACUCCACAGACUUAAUAAAAUAAAUAAUGGCUCUGUCCAUAUCAACCUUUCAGAAGGUGUGAGCACAAGCUAAAAUAUACAUGAGUUUCUGUAAGUUUUCAUGACUUUGCAGCAUCUUAAGGUUUUAAAAUAGAAUAGCCCGUGAAAAGAGAAGAGUACUAAACGGAAAAAUUAGUACUGGCCUAGGAAGUGAUUCACAUGAGAAAGUGAAUUCUUGAAGCCUAAUUUACAAAUGCCUAUGGAAUCGCAUAACACAGCUCAUUACACCUGGAUUUCGAUGUAACAGAGUAGAUCUGACAAAGAAUCAAAGACCUUUAAGCUGAAAGCUUCUUUAUUUUGCAGGGGAGGACAUGAACUUUGCAAAUGAGGAGCCAGAAAGAACUGACUUGCUCAAGGUCACAUGACUUAUAACUCAGGUUUCCUGACUUAUUAGUUCACUGGCUCAGGAACAGCCACUACUCAGCUAAGACAUGGUAUUGUUUCGGACUUCAUCUCACAUAUGUAAUGAAAAUCUCUGUGUCAAUGAAUCACCUAGACCAAGUUCCUGUUAAUUUCACAAGAGUUCCUGGAAGCAAAGAUGUGACGGUAUCAGAAAGAAACUCAUGAUAGCCCAAGGACCACAGUUACAUCUCAUCUAGCCUUGCCUUUUCCUCUUUGGGAAAGGAAAUCUAAUUGCUCUGGAGACACAACCAUAACACUGACCUUCCUUUUUUCCUGAGUAGAGGAGAAUUAAAUAAACCCUGGGACUUCUCACUUGAAACAGAACAUCAACACCCAUUAAAAGUCUGUCUACUGCACAGUUAACCUAUCUUAGAAGAGUUAGUGCCUCUUCAGGCACUAGCAGAAAACAAAGCUUCCAAAUCAUUAUCAGGAUGGCCCUUCACUGCAAAGACUCUAUGUUUAAAUGUUUCAUUUACUUGCAGCAUGCUAAUUGCCACUAGACCCCACUUGCCAAUUGAUAAACAGGUGUCAAGCAUAACACUGGAUUUAGAAGGCCAUAUCUGUCAUCUUACAAUGAUAUUCUACUUAAUAAAUUCAUCAUCACUGACUUAGCCACUUGCUACAAAGCUAUCAGAGUUGAAUGUAAAGAAGCUGGAAAAACAUUCGCUGAAUUUCCUAUCCAAAUAUAACCACCAUCUUGGUCAGACACAUGGGCUCUUUGAUAUGAGAUAUGAAGAAGAUAUCCUCAGCUAGUUCGCUCAAUUCAGCAGCAACAUAAUAAAGAAGAAAAUGAAAUGUAAGUUCUUUUUGCAACUGUAAGGCACUGAAACAAGUUUUAGAGAUAAACUGAAAAAUAAAAGAAGGUGAUUUCUUCUAAGCAGUAGGAAGGUGAGUUUUUAGUUUUCUCAUUUAUAAGGAAGAAGGAAGCAAUUCUAACUACCUAGACUGAUAAAAAGGUAGGUGAACAAUAAUUUCUUUCCAUUUUCAGAUUGCAGCAACCUCAAGAUAUUUCAUUUCUAUAAUGCAUAACCAUAAAAACUGAGGGAACCACAAUCCAAGCUGAUUGCUAAACAAAGUAUUAAGAUAGAUCAUGAGAAUAUGCAUUAAAACACAGUCCUGAAGAACUGCUCUUCUGCCAGAGCUUAGUUAUGGACGUGAUUUUGUUUUUUGAAGUUAGUCUGUUCAUGUUGUUAUACUAAGAAUCAGUUAUUUUCCAAAGAUUUAAUUCUAGGGUGGGAAAUAAUUUCUUAUCCAAAGCCACAGAAUCUCAGAGAAAACAAAGGCUCUACGCAAAAACAGGAAAUUAUUUAGAAUCAUAGAGUGAUAUAAUUUUAAUAACUUGAAGGACAUUUUAAGAAAUUACAUAACAUUUACUAAUUGAUUUUAAAAAUAGGUUAUUGACCGGCCGGGCGUUGUGGCUCACACCUGUAAUCCCAGCAGUUUGGGAGGCCAAGGCAGGCGGAUCACCUGAGGUUGGGAGUUCAAGACUAGCCUGACCAACAUAGAGAAACCCCGUCUCUAAUAAAAAUACAAAAUUAGCUGGGCCUGGGGUGGCACAUGCCUGUAAUCCCAGCUUCUCGGGAGGCUGAGGCAGGAGAAUCACUUGAACCUGGGAGGCGGAUGUUGCAGUGAGCUGAGAUCACGCCAUUGUACUCCAGCCUGGGCAACAAAAGCAAAACUCCGUCUCAAAAAAACAAAAGGUAUUGACCAAUUUGCUUUUUACAUGAAAAAAAAAAAAAAAACUGGAACCUAAUACUUUAUUCAGAAAAUAUAAGAUAUGCUAAAGCAUAUACUUCAGUUUUACAUUAUAAUCAACAAAACUAACAACAGAGUUGGAGGGUAGAGGGUGUGCUUAAAAGAAGUAAGUGUAAAAGAAAAGAAAAAGAAAUAAACAGAAGUCUUUUUGGCAAACUAAAGUACCAGAAGGUAAGGAAGAGGAAGAUACAGAAAGGAGUUUAGGAACAAAAGCAAAAAAAAAGAUAAUAAUAGUAAUAAUAAUAAGGGGGCCUAAGAGAAACAAGAAGUACAAAGAGAAGAAAUUUGGGUUAAAUGAAAUAAGGACUUUUGUCUUCCUCAUCUCUGUGUCCCAAUUCUUAGUCUAAACCUUAGCAACCGUCAAUAAAUGUUUACCACAUAAAAGUUAAGGAAGAUAAAGGGCUGAGAAGUUCAAUGAGUAGAAUUAUUCUUCAAAUCAUAUUUUACGGUUCCCGUAACCGUAAGUUCUCAAAAUAAGCAACUUAAUCUCAUUUAUUCUGUGAAUGUAACCAAGUUAAUUAGUCUCUUUGAAUUACAGGUUCUUGAUCUAAACAACAAACUGAACUAGAUGAUCUUUAGGGUCACUUCCUUAUUCUUUGCAGUAAUGGUGACCAAAUAUAGGUAAAUGAAAUCAAACGAAGGCUCUCAGCUUACACCUGGACUGCUUAAAUGGAAUCAGUGGUCAGUAGAUGCAAUUUAUAUUUUUUUGUACAACAAGAGCAAAAGUCACUUAUUGUUCACAUGACACAAGCUGCUGUCCAAAGAAACAUCCAGAUAGGUUUUAAUGUUUCAGAAGAGCAAUAUUAGAAAGGAUUUAUAAGUAUUUCUGCUCUAAUUAUUUCUCUGGCUAGGUGUAAUCUUACUGACAUUAAAAGGGUCUCUAACUCCAUAGAUUUCUGCAUAAGUGAUAUAAAUAUUGGAACAUUAUACAAAAUAAUGAAGGAUAUAAACAAAAUAGCAUCACUAUCACAAUGCCAUAACAAACUGAGGAUACUGCUAAGGAAGAAAAACAUGAUUAUUUUUGCAUUUUGCAAAGUAACAGGAUUCUCUUCAAGAAGUAGAGUGUUUUUUUAAUAGGCGGAAAAUCCUACUAGAAGUUAUUUCUUCAUUUUUAAAUGACAAGAAAGCCUCAAAUUAUAUAAAGCAAACAAGAAGAAAAAAUAUACUAAAUGAAAACAUAGCUUCAUGAAAUGAGAGCAGAAGUGGAGAGAGCUUCCUGGGUAAAUAUUUAAAAAAUCUCACUGUGGUUAAUAAAGGUAAUAAAAGAAUAACAGGAAGUGACACUAGGAAAAUAGGGCAGGUUAAUAUUAUUCAGAGAUUGCUAUAAAAGAGCACAGAAGAAACUGAUCUUCCACAGUCACUUGAAGCUUGAACCUAUGAGUCUCUUUUGUCAUUAUUUACACAUAUGAAAGUAUUACUGCAGAUCAUCAUAUCAUCACUCAGCAUAGUUCAGAGUCAGAAGACUAGGAAAAGGAAUGUUCUUUGCAGGUCAGGGUUUUGAUGACUGGCAAAACACUAGGCAAGUUGCACUGCAGUUGUCUGAACCACACCCAGACUGCAGUUAAAUAUAGAAUUUAGUUUCUGGAACUGUUAGUCUUAACCUUCACUGAAAAAAUUAAAAGUAAAGAGGAGAAAGGAAAGAGACUGAAACCAAAGUCUAUGUACUAAUAAACUGUCCUGGGAAGAAUUCCAAAAUGCAGUGAAAACCAAGAAAAUUAAAUUACAGAAACCUCAAGCAAUGUUCUAGAAAUCGCUUUACAAGCUGAUUUGUCUCUUCCAUGCUAGUUCUCCCAGGAUGUAUAGCAUCCUUGAAUAAAAUCCACUUGGUUACUAGAGAUGCAUGUCUCUAAUUCAGAUUUUAUACAUGUCAGGUUAACAGCAGUGACACCAAAUUUAAAACUAUGAUAUAAUUUUGGUUCGUUAUAGUAUUGUGGUUGUGAUGCUAUUUUUGUUCAUGAAGACACACUUUUAUUCUAAGACCUCAUUUUUAGAUGCUUAAAUUUGGGGGAAAGAGAUACUCUCAAGCUAAAAUUUUUAAUGCUGAUUCCUUGCCCGGGAGAAUAUUUUGGAUUAAUUUUUUAAAGCUGUUUUGGAGACUGACAGGGGUUAAAACAACAAAAACAAAAUAUUUUCUGUAUAAUUUCAGAGGGUUCUAGGCUUUACUAAUGAUUUUGUUUUAUAUUGCUCACUGAAGAUGACCAUGGACAGAAUUUAAUAACAAAAACACAUUCAAUAUACUUAUCCAUAAGAAAAAUAAAACACGCAAUAGUUUUAAUUACAAACACAAACAGAGAUAUUCAUUUGCCUUCAUUAGCAUUUAAUUUGCAUGUUCCUGGAUACACCCAAAUACAGGGUCAUCAUUCAGCCACUUCGAUUAAAAAUUAUAGCAAUCAGUAACCUUUCCACACAAAUUUGGCCCCCAAGCUGGUACUAUUAACCACUAUAUUCUAUUGCUUCUACCUAUCACUGCUAGGUAUUCUCACAUUUAUUCCUGCAUCCAGUCAAAGCUUUUUUCCAAGUUGUUGCUUCUCUUUCCUUCUUGCUUAGUUGGGUUGAAAAACCUAUAAGGAGAUUUGGAGGCUUAUUUUACCUUCCUCCCUUGAGACUAGAAUAGGUGCAAUAGCCAGGUCUUAUUCUUUUGUGUCCCAGUCACAUACACUAAUGCUCCAGAGACACACCUGUUUCCAAAGAUAAAGGAAUAUGUAGCCCAAAAUGCUGAAAGAUUAGUAAGGAAAGAGUACAUUAGAAGUCACUCUCCUAGGCCAUGAAGCCUUCAACACUUCUGACAAAAACCUUCUCUUCAGAUCUACUCCUUUCACUCUUCUCACCCUUAAAUGUAUCUGUUCUUUCUAUCCCUAGCACUUUGCCUCACAGCCCGUAAGUACUUCAUUGAAUGAAUGAACAAAUGGACAGUUAGGUUUGCAGAAUCACGUUUGAGCAUUGUAGAAUCACAUUAUUUGCAUAUGCAGAUAUUUCAGACAUACACUACAGAUGACUUUUUUUCCCCUUGAGAAUAUGUAAACUACUUAAGGUAAGCCUAGGUUAGUGCUAACACACAGCAAAUGCUUUAUUAAAAAAAGAAUAAAUAUUAGUCAAUUAUAUAUUUUAUCCAUUAAAAUCUAGUCAGGUCCUCUUUAAAAACAACAAAAUCCUUUUUAAUUAUAAAAAUUUUAAACCCACACAAAUAUAAUAAACCCACAACCCCCUACAUACCAGCUUCAACAAUUAACAACCAUUUUGCCAUUCUUGUUUCAUCUUUUCCCUGUUAUAAUCCCCAUAUGCUCUUAAACAAAUGGAAGGUUGUAACAUAUAUUAAUCUAGGGACAUCAGACUUUAGAGUUAACGAAGCCCAAGUCCACAAAUUAAAAACCAUCAGUAUAUACCCAAAUUAAAAUAACAUUCUUCUUAGUUAAUAAGAACUCAAAUCUGUGAAUAGCACUGGCUAAACAUCCACAUGUGACUGGGACACUUGUUAGCUCUGUGGUCUUAGGAAGUUAGUUAUUCAACCUCUUUGAGCCUUGACUGCCUCAUUAGAAAAAGGAAAAACCAGGCCUGCAGUGAGGAUUAAAUAUGGAGGGUAAGUAUAUGUGAAGCUUCUAACAGUGCACUGAAUAAAUGCCUUUUUUUAAAGCAGCUUGAUAUAAUUCAUAUAUCAAAAACUUCACUUAUUUAAGGCAUACAAUUUAAUAGUUUUCAGCAUAUUCACAAAGUUGUACAAGCACCUCCACAACUGAUUUUACAAAUCUUCAUCACCCCAAAAAGAAACACAUACCCCUUAGCCAUCACAUCCCCCACCCAACACCCCUAUCCUCCCCUAGCCCUAGGUAACACAUUUAUCUACUUUCUGUCUCUAUAGGUUUGCCUACUCCAGAUACUUCAUAUAAAUGGAAUCACACAAUAUUGUCCUUUGUGACAAUAAAUGUUUUUGGAAUUGGAUAUUUUAGAAGUCAAAUAUGUGGAAUACACAGUGGAAUGAGGUCAGAGAAGGAGAAAAUGCACAUAUAUAUGAAUGAUGCACCAAGACACACGCUAGGAAAUAUACAUAUCAUUGAAGUGCUCUGGGUAUGUUAAGAGGCAGGAAAACUGUGUGUGUGUGUGUGUGUGUGUGUGUGUGUGUGUGUGUACAUGGUAGCAAGUAGGUAGUUUGUGGACAGUCUCCUCUGAUUGCUUGAUUUUCCUCAUUUCCGUUCAUGAUGAGCAAGGUCAUCAUAAGAGAAUGAGGAUGGGGAGUUUGCACAGAGAGAAGAAAGUGUGAAAUAAUCUUACAGGAGAGUGGGAAAAAAUAAACCAGAAAGGUAUAGUAUUAAUUCUGCUUGGCAGAAUUAAAGACCCACUUGAGGUUAGCGGUCAUGAAUUUAAAAUGAGAUCAGUCAGCAGGGUUUUAAGUUUUUCUCCAGCCACAUUUCGCUGCAAAAAUGCAGGAACUGUAUAAAUGGAUAUAUUUAACCAGAGUUUAUUCACACUCAUGGCUUUAACUGUACCUAAUAUAUUGAUGACUCCCAAAUCUCCAUUUCUAGUGCCACUGAACUCUCUAACACAGAAAUCUUGAGGUGACUUCACAGUCAAAGCAUUAAACUAGAAGAAGCUUAGAUGGAAAAAGAACACUGGUCUAACAAUGGUUAUGAGAAAGGCAUUCUACUGUGUGAUUUGCACAUAUUAUCUCAAAUAAUUCUCAUAACUCUUCUCAUAAUAACCAUCUCCACUUUAUAGAAAGCUGAAAUUCCCACAGAUUAACAUAAAGUGAAGCUGUGACUAAUUCCUAAGUCUGUGUGGCUCUGAAGUCUGUCUUUUUACUUCAUCAUGAUAUUUAACUCUUCAUAAAUGUGGCACCUGGGGCCCAGAGAUGCUGAAUGAUUUGCCCAAAGUGAAAGCAUUUUCUAAUGGCAGGUACUGUCUCCCAGAGGCUCUCUGACUAUCACUAUGCUCAACUCUUACAUAUUUCCUGCUUUGUCAUUCAAUGUGUGACUAGGUUAGAUUGUUUUUCUUCCAUUUUUUUUCUGAUAUCUAUCACUUUUUAUCCAUUUUCUAUCCUUUUGCUUUUACAAUAUAGCUUAGACCCUCAGCAGUCAUGCAUAGGUUACUCUAAUAGCUUCCUAAGCUGGCCUCCAUCUAUUCCUCCUCUACUCCAGUGUUCUCCAACCUUUUUGGCACCAGAGGCCAGUUUCGUGGAAGACAAUUUUUCCACCGACGGGGUGGGGGGUAGGGAGGGUGGUUUAGGGAUGAAAAUGAAGAGUUCGAGCUCCUAUGAGAAUCUAAUGCUGCUGCUGAUCUCACAGCAGGUGGAGCUCAGGCAGUAAUGCUUGCUCUGCUGCCACUUGCCUCCUACUGUGUGGAGGUCCACAGCCCAGGGGUUAGGGACCCCUGCUCUAAUCCAUUUGCAUAUGGGUUAGUCACUUCCUUUCUCUGAGGCUCUUAUAUAUAAACUGCAAAUAAUAACAUACCUACAGUAUAGAAUUGUGAAGAUUAAAUAAAAAUAAUUUCGUAUAAUUAUCAAUAAAAUCAGUAACUGUAUAGUAAUUAAAUUCCUAUUCAAAUGUAAGCUAUUACUGCCUUAAGAUUUAUGAAGGCAGAUAUUAUAACUUAAAUAUAUUUUACAUUUUAUUUUACAUUUAUUUCCCCCUGAUUAUAUGCAUGUAGUAUGUGUUAAAAUACAUACUUGAUUGAUUUCUUGUCCAUUAUCCACACUCCUACCGCUAUUAUCUAACAGACCAAUCUAAUCAGAUACAUCUCCUACAUAAGGCCCGAAUGCCAACACUUACGGUAUAAUUAACCACGGUGCUUGUUUAAUUAUAGAAUGCACAGUAUAACCAAGUUCUGAAUAAUCAAAGUAAGAAUGCUCCUAACAUUAUAAUGCCUUUUCUCAGAUUCUCUAACUCAUGAACUCCUAUCCCUCAUCUGAAUGCACCCAAAAUGUUACCACUUUGGUGUAGUUUUCCUCUUUUCUCUACAUGCUCCUUUUGUCAUAAUAGCAUUCACUUCUCAGUUCCAUAAUUACUUACAUGUUAGCUCCCUCCCUGCUGCCACACAUUUGUGAGGGAGUACAUUUCAGGGUAACCAAAUUGUUGAUGAGGGAAAGUUCUUUACAGAAGAAUUCCAGCUGAUUAAUGUACAAGAAAUAAAUUUCAAUACAACAACUUGUGACUCCUUAUGGAAAAAUGAUUGGGAAACAAUCGUCGAUAGAUAACAAAACAGUGAUUCUCAGUCCAGCCUACACUUCAGAAUCACUUGGAAACUUUUCAAAAUAUAUCUCUGCCUAGGCUCUACACCCAGAGAUUAAGAUUCAGUCCAUCAGGGGUGAAGCCCCCUGAUAGUUUUAAAAGCUCCUCGGGUGAUCCUAAUAUGCAUCCAGAUUUAAUAAUCAAUGCUCUAAAACUAUUAGGUAGAUGGUUAAUAGGGGAUUUUUUAAUAAGUGAAUCAAGAAGGUAACACUGAAUUCACUGAUCAAUCUUAUGGUUACUAAAAUUGGGGCUGUAGCGGUGGAUCACACCUAUAAUCCCAGGACUGUAGGAGACUGAGGCAGGUGGAUCUCUUGAGCCCAGGAGUUCAAUACCAGCCUAGGCAACAUGGCAAAACUCUGUCUCUACAAAAAUAUAAAAAUUAGCCAGGCAUGGUGGCACAUGCCUGUAGUCCCAGCUACUCAGGAGGCUGAGAUGGGAGAAAGACCUGAGCCCAGGAGGUUGAGGCUGUGGUGAGCUAUGAUCAUGCCACUGAACUCCAGCCUGGGCAACAGAGCAAGACCCUGUCUCAAAAAGGGAAGGGAGCUGAUAAACAUGUUCUAAAAUUGACUGAGGUUAUGGUUGCAUAAUUCUGUGAAUAUACUAAAAAGCAUUAAAUUGUACACUUUAAAUAGAUGAAUUGUAUCUCAUUAAGGCUGUUUUUUUUAAAUCAAGAUAAAUUUCUAUCUCUAUGCAAACAUACAGAAGACUACAGUAUUUUAUUUAAAUCUUUUGAUUUUAUAUUUCUCUUUUCCUUUGCACUGACAAUCUUGGUUCCUAAUAACUCUAAUAUGACUAUUUGUUUUAUCUGUACCUACAUCUAUAUCUAUACCUAUCUAGCUAUGUAAAUAAAAAUAGUACCUGAAUAGCAGUAUCUAUAAUACCAAAUUUAGUAGAAACAGUGUAAGAUUUUUUUGGUGUUUCUUUUUAUUCUUAAGCUGUUUCCCACUUGGGAAGUAUAGGAAAUUACUGUGUUAUAAACACAUUUGAGAUAAUUCUUGGGUGUUUAAGGCACUAUUUUGAUAUACAGGUUUAAUUUUAGUUAUUUUUUAAAGGUCACCUCCCCCCCUCCCCCCCAUUUUUUCCCUGAUUUUAAAUUUUGAUAUAUAAUUACGUAAUUUAGUUACAGGUCAAAACAAAGUAUUUUCCGAGAAAUCUAGCUUCUACCUCUCUUCUAAGUUGUUUCUCUUUUAUUGAUAACCAUUUAUUUUAUGGUUUAUUCCUCCAUUUUAAAAUAAGUUAUAAGCAAAUACAUAAAUGACAGCUUUGUAUUAUAUACAGUUGAUUCUGCCUUGUUUUAAACUUAAUGUUAUAUCCUGGAGAUCACUGUAUACAGAGUUUUUUGUUCUUUAGCUGCAUAGUACUCCACUACAUGGGUUUCAACAUCCAAUACAUGGAUGUGCUAUAAUUUAUUGACAUAGUUACUACAAAUAGACAUUUAGGUCAUCUUCUGUAUUUUGAAAUUAGUAAAAACAGUGCUGUUAUCUUUUCAUAUUUUUGCCAGUAUAUCUUUAAGAUUCUUCUUUUUCUUCUUGAGAUAGGGUCUUUCUCUGUCACCCAGACUGAAGUGCAGUAGUGUGAUCAUAGCUCACUGCAGCUUCAAACUCCUGGGCUCAAGCAAUCCUCCUGCCUCAGCCUCCCGAGUGGCUGGGACUACAGGCAUGCCCUACCACGCCUUGCUAAUUUUUUGUAUUUUUUAUAGAGAUGGGGUCUCACUAUGUUGCCUAGGCUAGUCUCAAACUCCUGGCCUCAAGUGGUUCUUUCACCUCAGCCCUCCCAAAAGGUUGGGAUUUACAGGUGUGACCCACUGGCCCUAAGAUAAUUUUCUAGAAGUAGGAAUGUCAAGUCAAAGGGUAAACUCAUAGGUAAUUUUCCUUGAUAUUGCCGAAUUCCCUUCCAUUAAGUUGUUUCAUUUUGCAUUUCUACAAGUAACGUAUGAGAGUGUCUGUUUCUCUACAGCCCAAUCAAUAUAAAAUGUUGCCAAACUUUUGGAUUUUUGUCAAUGUAAUAAGUGAAGAAUAGUAUCUCAAUGUAGUUUUAAUUUGAAUUUCUCUUACUAUCAAUUAGAUUGAGCAUUUUUUUUUUUUUUUUUGAGACGGAGUCUCGCUCUGUCACCCAGGCUCGAGUGCAGUGGCACGAUCUCGGCUCACCGCAAGCUCUGCCUCCUGGGUUCAUGCCAUUCUCCUGCCUCAGCCUCCCGAGUAGCUGGGACUACAGGUGCCCGCCACCACGCCCGGCUAAUUUUUUUUUUUCUAUUUUUCGUAGAGACAGGGUUUCACUGUGUUAGCCAGGAUGCUCUCGAUCUCCUGGCCUCGUGAUCCGCCCGCCUCGGCCUCCCAAAGUGCUGGGAUUACAGACAUGAGCCACCGCGCCUGGCCGAUUGAGCAUAUUUUCAUAUGUUCAAGGACCAUUUGCAUUUUUUCUCCUAUCUUUAGCCCAAUAAAGAUAGAGUUAUUGGUCUUUUAAGAGCUCUUUAUUAGGGAUAAUAAAAGUUGCAAUUUUUUUUUCCAAUUUGUCUUUUACUUUGCUCAGCUUUUACUCCCUCCAAAGUUUUUCUUUUAAUUUAUGUAAUCAUAUUUAUCAAUCUUUUCCUUUAUUGUUUUUAGAUUUUGGGUCAUGGUUAGGAAAUAUUUUUCCCAUUGCCAGGAUAUGAAGGGACCACUCAUGUUUUCUUCUAUUAUUUAUAUGGAUUCACUUCUUUGACUCAUUUGAAAUUUAUCUUGAUGUAUGAAGAAUGGAAUAAUUUUUUACUUUUUUAAAAUUUCAUUUUAAUUUUUGAGAUAGGAUCUUACUAUGUCGCCCAGGUUGGGGUGCAGUGGUGCAAUCAUAGCUCACUGUAACCUCAAACUCCUGGGCUCAAGCAAUCCUCUCAUGUCAGCCUCCUGAGUAGCUAGGAAUGCAAGUGUAUGCCACCACGCCCAGAUAUUUUUUGAAUUUUUUGUAGAGAUGGGGUUUUGCUAUGUUGCCCAGGCUGGUCUCAAACUCUUGGCCUCAAGUGAUCCUUCUGCCUUGGCCUCCCAAAGCUGAAAUUAUAGGUGUGAACCACCAUGUCCAGCCUUACUUUUAUCUUAUACCAACAUUUGAGUAAGGCUUACUUUGCUGGUUUUACAGUCUAUGCAUAUGUAUUUAUUUACCCAUGCAGUCAAGGAAAAAAAUAUGCGUCAUACUAAGGAUAGGAAUUUUAUAUGUCAUUUUGGAUAACAAAAAGUUCCAUUUUUACAGAACAAAAAUCAUACUGUGUGACCUUCUGUACUAUUAAGUAUUUUGAAAGGCUUUCUGUGCUUUUGCAACUAUUGGCAUAAACCACAUCCUCUUUCUAGUUGUGCCAGGUAACAUAAAAUUAAGCCAAAGAUAACCAACUCCUGGAUUAGAUAAAGCCAUUUAUUAAUUAAAAUUAAUGUUAAAAAACAUAAAUUAAGACUAAAUAGGAGUCAUAGGGUAAAUGCUCAAUAUCUUUUUAAUUAAAAUUCCGUGUGAUUCUGUGACUAAUUCUUGCUGCCAAGGAAAAUAAGAAUCCCUAAGUCUCUGAGGUUCAACUCUGAAAGUACAUUAGGAAUAUCACCUAUUGAUAUUAAUGUCAUCAAUUUUUAACUUAAUUCUUUCUCAUGAUGACAUUUUGUGAUAAAUAUAUACUGGUAUUUUCAUGAAAAAAACUAACUGGCUAAGUCACUAGCACAAUUAGAACUUAGCACCAGGUAGAAACUAAUACCUAAAGGAAAAUGUACAAUGUUGCAAUUUAAGUUAGACAUUAUUUUAAUUCUCAUCUGCUGUGUGCCAAGUUCUAAAGAAAUUUUCAAAAAGAAUAAAAAUUUCUAGAUGAGAAAAGCAGAGCAGAUUGUAAAUGUCAGGUCUCCAGGACAAUAAUGUCUCAUUCUUUCACUUUAAUGACUCAAGCAUAUAAGGAUUCAUUAUUCAAUAAAUGGCUUCUGCUCUUAUCUAUAAUAAAGAGAGCAAGGAAAGGAAUAGAUGACAACAUCAGUGGAUAACCUAUAGUCUCAUUUUGGAUACUGGAUCUCACCUUCACCUUAAGCAAACCUAUUAAUUUCAACUAUAUCACAUGAACAAAAACAUCUGAAUUUCGGCAUUUUAAAUCUCCCUCUCUUUCAGGUAGUGAAGUUCAUGAGCUGGGAAAUAAUCAGAAAGUAGCAGGAUGAGAGAUGGCAAAAGUCUUAGAUGACAUAUUGGCUAUCAAAAAAUUUCAUUUUAGACAUGAAGUUACAGCUGAGAGUUUGUGACCUAAACAAAGUUAGUUGGGUAUAGGUCUUCUGACUCUGAGUCCAGUGCUCUGUCCAAUAUACCAAUUCUACUAGUCAGGUCAGAUAAGAAAAAUGUACAGCUGGAACAUUAUUACCUAAUUGCAUAUAAACAAAAUUCCAUUGAAACAAAAUUCUGUAAACAUCACUUACAAGUAGAUGACUAAAAAGAUAAUUCUACUAUAGGAUCUAUGCUAAGUAUGCCAAACAUUUCACAAUCAUAAUUAAUUUAUACCAUUUCAGAUAGGAAAAUUGAAGCUACGGUCAAAUUCAGGUUAAAAAAAAAACCACUGAGUGCCUACUAUGGAUCAGGUACUGGUGACAGAAUGAGAGGAUAAAUUACUAAAACAAAGUCAAAAAUAAGUAUUUUUAACCUUUGGGACAAAGCUUACUUAGACCAUACUCCUUAUUAAAGGAAAGUUAAAUCUCAGUAGUCUCCUAUACAAUUAUUCAUUAUUUUUGAUGAAAAGAAGACUUCAAAGAGUUUUUCCAAAAUAUAAUACAAAGAUCUGAAUUCAAAAAAUAUUUAUUCCAACAUUUCUUAAAUUACUGGGGACACUAUUAUAAGUAAAAUAAAUUGACAGAUGCUAACUCCAGCUUUAUGAAUUCUCAAUGCUAAGAUGACCUUAUUUCUAUAAUACAGCAUUUAUGAUAUUCUAAAGUACUUUUAGAGAUAGAACCAAGAUACCAAGUUACUUGUUUGAAAUGAAAACUGUCCCAGUCUAUCCAGAGUUGAUGUCUUCCCUAAGUUUGGGAGAUCAUUCGUAGAAAAAGGAGACACAUACC
Molecule: long non-coding RNA, 19347 nt
Organism: Homo sapiens (human)
Lineage: Eukaryota; Metazoa; Chordata; Mammalia; Primates; Hominidae
Exons: 3
Source: RefSeq, a predicted model, not a curated record